UACCAGCACCCCGAGUGGUCGGGACGUUUUAUUGGCCGUAAAGCAUCCGUAGCCGGUUCUACAAGUCUUCCGUUAAAUCCAGCUGCUUAACAGAUGGGCUGCGGAAGAUACUAUGGAGCUAGGAGGCGGGAGAGGCAAGCGGUACUCGAUGGGUAGGGGUAAAAUCCGUUGAUCCAUUGAAGACCACCAGUGGCGAAGGCGGCUUGCCAGAACGCGCUCGACGGUGAGGGAUGAAAGCUGGGGGAGCAAACCGG
Molecule: ribosomal RNA, 254 nt
Filed under: uncultured bacterium
Lineage: Bacteria
Description: partial 16S ribosomal RNA
Rfam family: Archaeal small subunit ribosomal RNA
Source: RNAcentral